RNAcentral lists this small RNA (977 nucleotides) under Histoplasma capsulatum var. duboisii H88. RNAcentral describes it as "Histoplasma capsulatum H88 hypothetical RNA". The record is from RNAcentral. Lineage: Eukaryota; Fungi; Ascomycota; Eurotiomycetes; Onygenales; Ajellomycetaceae.
GUUUGUCCAUCCAUAGCGUCGACAAGGAAUAUUUCUCAUCAUCAGCGGUCUUAAGUUUUCCUACCCAAUACCGACUCGGCGACUUAAAUAUGUGUUGAACGACAUGGGUAGGAAUCAUAGUGGUAAGACAGAUCUUCCCUUUGCUUCGUUGAACCCUUUCUUAUUCUUGCAUUCUACAAAAUGACAUUACGAGUGCCUCGGUCAAAUAGCGUCACCACACACAAUCAACUGCUGUCCCAUAUUUUCUCCCUCUCUAUCUUGUUCCUGGAAGGAAAUUUCUCCGCCCAUCCAGGUGAACCGGAAGAAUAAGGCGCCAAGGUGCCAAUACGUGUCUGCAAACGCUCAAGGAUCAAACAAAGAAAAGAUCUGAUAUCGGAAAAGGGAUAUCCAAUUCCUUGUUUGCGUCUCCCACAUCGUUUCACUGAUGUGUCAGGCUAAAAAUUUCCCUCCCAAUCCAGCUUUGUGAAACCAAUGGCAAGGGGCGAAGCUCCAGAAUUCAGGGCAAAUGUCACCACGACUGGCCAAUGACGCAGUCGUCAUUCCGAGUUGCAAUAUCAUCGUCGGGCUCAUUUUAUAUUUUUAAGCAUCCUGUUGGUGAUCAACUUGAUACUAUUACUGUUUCUAGCUACUUUAGAGAGGUGAAUGAUAAUCAUGUGAUCGUGUAUGUCACGUGACGAAGACACCAUGGCGCCAGCAGAAGUGCCACCACAUGCUAUCAUACUGUAGCUUAGUGUUCGCCUUUCACAAUUCUCAAAAAUAUUCACCGCACAGCGGCAGGUUAAAUAUGAAGGGUCAAUGAAUGCUGAUCGCGGCCUUGUUGCUGGUUGACGAAGCAGCAUUGUUUCUUGCUGUUGCCCAAGCACAUCUUUCGCAUCUGAACCACAUAACGACAGCGAAUGAGAAGUCAUACCACGACCCUAAGGGCUUGGUUGGUUCCAUGUGGUUUCCACAGCCAACCAGCAAGAGAUAUCAACCGA